GCCUUGUACAACUCUUGAAAGUUUGUAAUUAUGUUUAGAACAUAAUGGUUGGUUGACAAAAUUAGUCCAUCAACAUGGACUUAUGAUGAUUUUGAAUCAUUGAGUGUUGAAGUGUUAAACCACUUAACGAGACGGAAACUAGGCAAGGACUUCACCUUUAUGUCCCUAUCCUAAUGGUUCACUAAGUUUAUUGUAAACUAUGUAGUGAACAAUAACUGCACUCUCUCCAAAUUGUUUAAUGUGUAUAACACAAUUGAAAUAAGUUUCAAGAGAGAUAGUGGGAGUUUAGGGACCAUGACUAUUGUUGUCAAAUGAACAUGUUUUCACAUAAUCAUCCUUCAGAAUAUUGGUUGACUAUUCCUAGAUAUCGAACAAUAUCGUCAAUUAGUAGCGCCACUGUAGGCUGAUUACAGUUUAGAACCUUCUCUGGUAGCUAGCCUCGAAUAAUUGGUAAGGAAUUGGUCCUGCAAGGUGGUUUCAGUAAUUCUAUGAAAAAUGCAUACUACUUCAGGGAUUUCUACUGACUGUAGGUAUACAGCUCAUACUCCUAUGCCUAUACUUAUCAAAAUGACGAGUAUAGCACCAAAAGAAUCUUUGGAAACUAGUAUUGGUUGGAACGUCCUAAGGCUAAAAAAGGAAUUUCCUAUUAAUCUACUUUAGGACGGG
Molecule: long non-coding RNA, 666 nt
Filed under: Malus domestica (apple)
Lineage: Eukaryota; Viridiplantae; Streptophyta; Magnoliopsida; Rosales; Rosaceae
Description: long non-coding RNA (MDOM_LNC005792)
Source: RNAcentral